CGCUGUGCUCGUUGAUGAAAGUCAAAGUGGCGUUACGUGAGCUCAGUGUAGCCUACAUUCAGUGGCGCCUGUUAGUUUUCCCCUUGUGUAUUUACAAUGUCACAUAUCAAAGCAUUACAAUCAAACGGAUUAAAAUACAAAGAACAAAAAUACCCCUAUAAAUCUACACAGCGAUUCAUGGUAGGCCAGUUAAUGACUUAAAAGUCAUUGCCAUGUCACAUAAUGGCGGCAAUUAGUAGCGCUCGCUCGCUCAGCUGUUUACGUCGCCUGAAGACUAAUCUCAAGAAUGACUGACAAAAGACUGAAUGGAGACGCGGAGGCUGUUUUGAAAGAGUUUGACACCACAUGCAGUCGCAAAAUGAGCUUCAAAUAGGAGCACCUAGCUGCUAACAGCAGUGAUGAUUAUGAUAAUGGUCCUUGCUAUUUAGGAAGAGUGAUUGAACAAUGUUUACCAAGACAAACCCUCUGCAUGUUAAAGGGAACCCGCUGUGACUUUUAAGGAGCUCCUGUUCGGUCAACAGAAUCUGUUCAGAUGAAGAAACAAACUACAUCUACAUCUUAGAUAGCCUGAGGUCCACAGCCCAGACUUUCAGCCAGAAUGAAUGAUGGGAAUCACAGCAGAACUGGACCGCCGCUGAGACGUAUCUCAGCAAGUCUCGUCUGAGCCUGAUGACCCUCCUGUGACAUCAAAGUCAAUUAAGGCAUCUGUUUCAUUUUCAAAACCUGGUGUAUUUGGAUGCUGCAGUCUUGUGAGUGUGCGUUUGUGUUCUGUUGUUCAGAGAGAAUAUGUCAGCAACAGGAGGCUGUUCCUGGCCUUAGUCCAGAGAUGUUCAUGACUACCAGACUGAGGAAGACACCGUUUGUCAAAGGAUCUCAGGGGACAGUCCACUGGUCAAGCAGAACUUUAGCAAAAACACUCUUGCAUUUUACGACUCGAAAAUAAACUAAAAUAAACAUUCAUUCCAGUCAUAGUUACACACAAUAUGGUGUCAAGCUAUAUAGAUGUGUUUGUAUUUGAACAUAAUGGUUAAAGGAACAUUUUAUAACAUAUGGAUAUUGAAACAUGUAUUGAGAGAAUAUUAAAUGUUAAUUGUAUUUACACAUUCACAGCUUUAAUGUAAAAAUCUUUAAGAAUACUUUAUAUUAUAAAUGUAUUUGUAUAGUUACAUUUUACUUGUGAUGAAAUCUUUGAAAUGUGUUGAAUAUGGCAACAGAAAUAAUACUAAACAGGAC
Molecule: long non-coding RNA, 1233 nt
Organism: Cyprinus carpio carpio
Lineage: Eukaryota; Metazoa; Chordata; Actinopteri; Cypriniformes; Cyprinidae
Source: Ensembl